This 2787-nucleotide ribosomal RNA is filed under the name Escherichia coli. RNAcentral's name for it is "bacterial LSU rRNA". It matches the Rfam family "Bacterial large subunit ribosomal RNA". Lineage: Bacteria; Pseudomonadati; Pseudomonadota; Gammaproteobacteria; Enterobacterales; Enterobacteriaceae. The record is from RNAcentral.
AGCGUACACGGUGGAUGCCCUGGCAGUCAGAGGCGAUGAAGGACGUGCUAAUCUGCGAUAAGCGUCGGUAAGGUGAUAUGAACCGUUAUAACCGGCGAUUUCCGAAUGGGGAAACCCAGUGUGAUUCGUCACACUAUCAUUAACUGAAUCCAUAGGUUAAUGAGGCGAACCGGGGGAACUGAAACAUCUAAGUACCCCGAGGAAAAGAAAUCAACCGAGAUUCCCCCAGUAGCGGCGAGCGAACGGGGAGCAGCCCAGAGCCUGAAUCAGUGUGUGUGUUAGUGGAAGCGUCUGGAAAGGCGCGCGAUACAGGGUGACAGCCCCGUACACAAAAAUGCACAUGCUGUGAGCUCGAUGAGUAGGGCGGGACACGUGGUAUCCUGUCUGAAUAUGGGGGGACCAUCCUCCAAGGCUAAAUACUCCUGACUGACCGAUAGUGAACCAGUACCGUGAGGGAAAGGCGAAAAGAACCCCGGCGAGGGGAGUGAAAAAGAACCUGAAACCGUGUACGUACAAGCAGUGGGAGCACGCUUAGGCGUGUGACUGCGUACCUUUUGUAUAAUGGGUCAGCGACUUAUAUUCUGUAGCAAGGUUAACCGAAUAGGGGAGCCGAAGGGAAACCGAGUCUUAACUGGGCGUUAAGUUGCAGGGUAUAGACCCGAAACCCGGUGAUCUAGCCAUGGGCAGGUUGAAGGUUGGGUAACACUAACUGGAGGACCGAACCGACUAAUGUUGAAAAAUUAGCGGAUGACUUGUGGCUGGGGGUGAAAGGCCAAUCAAACCGGGAGAUAGCUGGUUCUCCCCGAAAGCUAUUUAGGUAGCGCCUCGUGAAUUCAUCUCCGGGGGUAGAGCACUGUUUCGGCAAGGGGGUCAUCCCGACUUACCAACCCGAUGCAAACUGCGAAUACCGGAGAAUGUUAUCACGGGAGACACACGGCGGGUGCUAACGUCCGUCGUGAAGAGGGAAACAACCCAGACCGCCAGCUAAGGUCCCAAAGUCAUGGUUAAGUGGGAAACGAUGUGGGAAGGCCCAGACAGCCAGGAUGUUGGCUUAGAAGCAGCCAUCAUUUAAAGAAAGCGUAAUAGCUCACUGGUCGAGUCGGCCUGCGCGGAAGAUGUAACGGGGCUAAACCAUGCACCGAAGCUGCGGCAGCGACGCUGAUGCGUUGUUGGGUAGGGGAGCGUUCUGUAAGCCUGCGAAGGUGUGCUGUGAGGCAUGCUGGAGGUAUCAGAAGUGCGAAUGCUGACAUAAGUAACGAUAAAGCGGGUGAAAAGCCCGCUCGCCGGAAGACCAAGGGUUCCUGUCCAACGUUAAUCGGGGCAGGGUGAGUCGACCCCUAAGGCGAGGCCGAAAGGCGUAGUCGAUGGGAAACAGGUUAAUAUUCCUGUACUUGGUGUUACUGCGAAGGGGGGACGGAGAAGGCUAUGUUGGCCGGGCGACGGUUGUCCCGGUUUAAGCGUGUAGGCUGGUUUUCCAGGCAAAUCCGGAAAAUCAAGGCUGAGGCGUGAUGACGAGGCACUACGGUGCUGAAGCAACAAAUGCCCUGCUUCCAGGAAAAGCCUCUAAGCAUCAGGUAACAUCAAAUCGUACCCCAAACCGACACAGGUGGUCAGGUAGAGAAUACCAAGGCGCUUGAGAGAACUCGGGUGAAGGAACUAGGCAAAAUGGUGCCGUAACUUCGGGAGAAGGCACGCUGAUAUGUAGGUGAGGUCCCUCGCGGAUGGAGCUGAAAUCAGUCGAAGAUACCAGCUGGCUGCAACUGUUUAUUAAAAACACAGCACUGUGCAAACACGAAAGUGGACGUAUACGGUGUGACGCCUGCCCGGUGCCGGAAGGUUAAUUGAUGGGGUUAGCGCAAGCGAAGCUCUUGAUCGAAGCCCCGGUAAACGGCGGCCGUAACUAUAACGGUCCUAAGGUAGCGAAAUUCCUUGUCGGGUAAGUUCCGACCUGCACGAAUGGCGUAAUGAUGGCCAGGCUGUCUCCACCCGAGACUCAGUGAAAUUGAACUCGCUGUGAAGAUGCAGUGUACCCGCGGCAAGACGGAAAGACCCCGUGAACCUUUACUAUAGCUUGACACUGAACAUUGAGCCUUGAUGUGUAGGAUAGGUGGGAGGCUUGGAAGUGUGGACGCCAGUCUGCAUGGAGCCGACCUUGAAAUACCACCCUUUAAUGUUUGAUGUUCUAACGUUGACCCGUAAUCCGGGUUGCGGACAGUGUCUGGUGGGUAGUUUGACUGGGGCGGUCUCCUCCUAAAGAGUAACGGAGGAGCACGAAGGUUGGCUAAUCCUGGUCGGACAUCAGGAGGUUAGUGCAAUGGCAUAAGCCAGCUUGACUGCGAGCGUGACGGCGCGAGCAGGUGCGAAAGCAGGUCAUAGUGAUCCGGUGGUUCUGAAUGGAAGGGCCAUCGCUCAACGGAUAAAAGGUACUCCGGGGAUAACAGGCUGAUACCGCCCAAGAGUUCAUAUCGACGGCGGUGUUUGGCACCUCGAUGUCGGCUCAUCACAUCCUGGGGCUGAAGUAGGUCCCAAGGGUAUGGCUGUUCGCCAUUUAAAGUGGUACGCGAGCUGGGUUUAGAACGUCGUGAGACAGUUCGGUCCCUAUCUGCCGUGGGCGCUGGAGAACUGAGGGGGGCUGCUCCUAGUACGAGAGGACCGGAGUGGACGCAUCACUGGUGUUCGGGUUGUCAUGCCAAUGGCACUGCCCGGUAGCUAAAUGCGGAAGAGAUAAGUGCUGAAAGCAUCUAAGCACGAAACUUGCCCCGAGAUGAGUUCUCCCUGACUCCUUGA